GCAUAUCAAUAAGCGGAGGAAAAGAAACAAACAUGGAUUCCCCUAGUAGCGGCGAGCGAAGCGGGAAGAGCCCAGAAUGAAAAGCUCCCGUCAGGGCGCAUUGUAAUCUGGAGACGUGCCUCGUGCGGGGCGGCUGGACUCAAGUCUGCUGGAAAGCAGCAUCGUAGAGGGUGAAAAUCCCGUGCUUGGUCUGGCUCUGCACCGUGUUGUGGGGCGCGCUCGACGAGUCGCGUUGUUUGGGAAUGCAGCGCAAAGUAGGGUGGUAAACGCCAUCCAAGGCUAAAUAUGGGGGAGAGACCGAUAGCGAACAAGUACCGUGAGGGAAAGAUGAAAAGAACUUUGGAAAGAGAGUUAAACAGUACGUGAAAUUGUUAAAAGGGAAGCGUUGGCAGUCAGUACCGCAAGGUGUGCCCUGUCUCCUUUUCUUACGGAAAGGAUCAAGGGGUGCACGUGGGGCUCAUGUCGGUUUGCGGCGGGGGAGAAGUCUGUGGGGAAGGUGGCUCUUGCUUCGGCAGGAGUGUUAUAGCCCUGCAGCGGAUACUCUGCCUUUGCGGACCGAGGCUUACCCCUCGCAAGGGGGGUAGGACAUGGGCUUAAUGGCUUUCAGCGGCCCGUCUUGAAACACGGACC
This 630-nucleotide ribosomal RNA is filed under the name Moniliella megachiliensis. RNAcentral's name for it is "eukaryotic LSU rRNA". It matches the Rfam family "Eukaryotic large subunit ribosomal RNA", at positions 38 to 667 of the family's 3401-position model. Lineage: Eukaryota; Fungi; Basidiomycota; Moniliellomycetes; Moniliellales; Moniliellaceae. The record is from RNAcentral.